Molecule: long non-coding RNA, 527 nt
Filed under: Equus caballus (horse)
Lineage: Eukaryota; Metazoa; Chordata; Mammalia; Perissodactyla; Equidae
Description: lncRNA (ENSECAG00000052922.1)
Source: RNAcentral
GGCAUAGGAUGACCUUGUACUCAGGCAAUAUACAAUACAAUCAACUCCAACAAUUAAUUCUAGAAUAGUUUCCCAUUGAUAGGAAUGUAGGAAACGUACACUGGCAUCAUUAUCAUGGACAUUUCUCUUUGUUUUUAUUGUAGUCAAUACAGUGUUGAAUUCAGUUGCUCACCUUGGAAGAGAGUGUGAGGAAGUUUGACUAUCCUUUAGUUUUAUCUUUAUCACCAAAAUGACAGGACCCAAAAUCCGUCUUCCUCCAACUGAGGUCAGGUUUUUGCCGUGGAGCAGGGCGGCAACCAGCACGUCUUUGUGAAGAUGAUCUCCUUUAUCUGAAAACAAAGGAACAACUUGAUAGAAUGCCGGUUUAUCAGGGAAGAUGAAUUUAAUUACUUGCCAACGUGAAGCUUCUCCCCAGCUCCUGUCGGAGAUGCGCUUAUGACCACUUCUGGUUUGGCAGUGCCUGAUUGAAAUCAAUUUUUGCUUAAAUAAACUCUUAAAAUUUUUAACAUGCCUCAGUUUAUUUUUUA